GAUGAACGCUGGCGGCGUGCCUAAUACAUGCAAGUCGAGCGAACAGACGAGAAGCUUGCUUCUCUGACGUUAGCGGCGGACGGGUGAGUAACACGUGGAUAACCUACCUAUAAGACUGGGAUAACUUCGGGAAACCGGAGCUAAUACCGGAUAAUAUAUUGAACCGCAUGGUUCAAAAGUGAAAGACGGUCUUGCUGUCACUUAUAGAUGGAUCCGCGCUGCAUUAGCUAGUUGGUAAGGUAACGGCUUACCAAGGCAACGAUGCAUAGCCGACCUGAGAGGGUGAUCGGCCACACUGGAACUGAGACACGGUCCAGACUCCCACGGGAGGCAGCAGUAGGGAAUCUUCCGCAAUGGGCGAAAGCCUGACGGAGCAACGCCGCGUGAGUGAUGAAGGUCUUCGGAUCGUAAAACUCUGUUAUUAGGGAAGAACAAAUGUGUAAGUAACUGUGCACGUCUUGACGGUACCUAAUCAGAAAGCCACGGCUAACUACGUG
This 497-nucleotide ribosomal RNA is filed under the name uncultured bacterium. RNAcentral describes it as "partial 16S ribosomal RNA". It matches the Rfam family "Bacterial small subunit ribosomal RNA", at positions 28 to 507 of the family's 1533-position model. The record is from RNAcentral.